This 435-nucleotide ribosomal RNA is filed under the name uncultured bacterium. Its description in RNAcentral is "partial 16S ribosomal RNA". It matches the Rfam family "Bacterial small subunit ribosomal RNA", at positions 29 to 507 of the family's 1533-position model. The record is from RNAcentral.
AGCGAACGCUGGCGGCAGGCUUAACACAUGCAAGUCGAGCGGGCACUUUCGGGUGUCAGCGGCGGACGGGUGAGUAACGCGUGGGAACGUGCCCUCUGGUUCGGAAUAACUCAGGGAAACUUGAGCUAAUACCGGAUACGCCCUUUUGGGGAAAGGCUUGCUGCCGGGGGAUCGGCCCGCGUCUGAUUAGCUAGUUGGUGAGGUAACGGCUCACCAAGGCGACGAUCAGUAGCUGGUCUGAGAGGAUGAUCAGCCACACUGGGACUGAGACACGGCCCAGACUCCUACGGGAGGCAGCAGUGGGGAAUAUUGGACAAUGGGCGCAAGCCUGAUCCAGCCAUGCCGCGUGAGUGAUGAAGGCCUUAGGGUUGUAAAGCUCUUUUAUCCGGGACGAUAAUGACGGUACCGGAGGAAUAAGCCCCGGCUAACUUCGUG